AAAGAAAAAAAUAUUUAAAGAAAAAGCCAUAGGAAAAGAAAUAAAAACCAUACCUCACAUCUAUAGAUCAAUCUUCUGUCUUCGAUUCAAGAAACUGUUCAAGAAAAUCUCUCCACUGCAAUAGAUAGAGGUACCCUUAUUACUCUUCUUACGAUUCUAUUAUGUGAUUAAUCUUGAUAUUCAAACAAUUUAAAGGUUCAUGUAAAUUAUGCUUACACUAUGUGUUCCUAACUUUGUUCAAGUACUAAUUCAACAAAGAAAUCAAUGGGUUUUGACACUAUUUUCUAAAUUUUUUUUAUAAUACAUCUUUAGAGGAAAGAGCACCUUUCAUUAGCAUUAUUUAAACUCAAAACUACACUGGACAUACAAAUCGUAGCUACGUUACUUUGGACGCAUGAUGAUAUCUUUGAAAAAAGUAAUCAUUGUCCAUUUGGCUUUGAACAUUUGUUGGCUUUUAAGAGCAUAUGCAUCGCAAGUAUCUCCAUGAUUUUUCCAUUAAUAAAAAGAAAAAGAAAAAAGAAAGAGAGAGCAAGGGAAUCGUCUCUUGUUUGAGAUACUUUGGCAAACUCAUGAGAUACUUCUUGUACACUUGCCAUUUUAUGGUCAAUGCCAAUCUCAUGAGAAACUUCUAAUACAUUUUUCAUCUUAUGAAUGGUUAAUGAUUUUUCAAAAGAUUCCAAGCGAUAAUCAUGCUCUAAGGCUCUUUUAAAUAACAAUCUAGGGUAAAAUGCAAAUUCACCAAAUUUUUUUUGAUGUAGUGGAGAAAGUGGACGAAACGAAAGGCAUAAGGAACUCAUGAAAUAAGAAGUUUGUUAGAAUUUGUACCACAUCCAGACUUUGAGAGAUUUAUGGACAAUAUAUAAGUGUAUGGUAAUUCUCCAUUCAUUAGUUAGCUUUUAGGUGUGAGUUAGGCUCAUACUAAUAUGAUAUCAAAGCCCAAGGUUCCAAUUUCUGGAUUGUGGAUCACACCCGUGGAUGUCCAGUCCCACAAACUUCGCGGUUCAGAAUUCCAAUCUUGAACGUGAGGGAGGUGUGUUAGAAUUUGUCCAACAUCCAGACUUUGAAAGAUUUGUGAUUAAUAUUUAAAUGUGUGGCAAUUCUCUACUCAUGAACUAGCUUUUAGAUGUGAGUUAGGCUCAUAUUAAUAGAGUUGACCAAAUUGAUGAAAUAAGAAAUGGACCAAAUAAUUUAUCUGAACAUUCAUUUUUUUUUAUAAAAGUUGUAGUUCAAUUUUAAUUAUUUUUUUAAAUAUAACUAUAAAAUGUCUUAAAAUGAUAUUUUUCAUAACACAACAAAUACACAAAUUCUCACUUUUCUUUUCAUAUAUCAUCUUUCUACUAAAAGUAUCUCAUAUUUUG
RNAcentral lists this long non-coding RNA (1358 nucleotides) under Eutrema salsugineum. Its description in RNAcentral is "long non-coding RNA (ESAL_LNC000999)". The record is from RNAcentral. Lineage: Eukaryota; Viridiplantae; Streptophyta; Magnoliopsida; Brassicales; Brassicaceae.